Molecule: ribosomal RNA, 406 nt
Filed under: uncultured bacterium
Lineage: Bacteria
Description: partial 16S ribosomal RNA
Rfam family: Bacterial small subunit ribosomal RNA
Source: RNAcentral
AUUGAACGCUGGCGGCAGGCUUAACACAUGCAAGUCGAGAGAGCGGCGGACGGGUGAGUAAUGUCUGGGAAACUGCCUGAUGGAGGGGGAUAACUACUGGAAACGGUAGCUAAUACCGCAUACCAUCAGAUGUGCCCAGAUGGGAUUAGCUAGUAGGUGGGGUAAUGGCUCACCUAGGCGAGGAUCCCUCUCUGGUCUGAGAGGAUGACCAGCAACACUGGAACUGAGACAGGGUCCAGACCCCUAAGGGAGGCAGCAGUGGGGAAUGUUGUACAAUGGGCCAAAGCCUGAUGUAGCCAUGCCGCGUGGGUGAAGAAGGCCUUCGGGUUGGAAAGCACUUUCAGCGAGGAGGCGUUACUCGCAGAAGAAGCACCGGCUAACUCCGUGCCAGCAGCCGCGGUAAUUC